Molecule: ribosomal RNA, 255 nt
Filed under: uncultured bacterium
Lineage: Bacteria
Description: partial 16S ribosomal RNA
Rfam family: Bacterial small subunit ribosomal RNA
Source: RNAcentral
GACGUAGGAGGCGAGCGUUGUCCGGAUUCAUUGGGCGUAAAGAGCACGCAGGCGGUUUGGCAAGUCGGACGUGAAAAUCCGGGGCUCAACCCCGGACCUGCAUCCGAAACUGCCCGACUAGAGGUAGGUAGGGGAGAUCGGAAUUCCUGGUGUAGCGGUGAAAUGCGCAGAUAUCAGGAGGAACACCGGUGGCGAAGGCGGAUCUCGUGGGCCUUACCUGACGCUCAGGUGCGAAAGCUAGGGGAGCGAACAGGA